RNAcentral lists this long non-coding RNA (451 nucleotides) under Pan troglodytes (chimpanzee). Its description in RNAcentral is "long non-coding RNA NONPTRT003790". Lineage: Eukaryota; Metazoa; Chordata; Mammalia; Primates; Hominidae. The record is from RNAcentral.
GGAAUGGAGAAGAUGACCUCUGAAGCCUGAAGGCUCUUUGGGAAGCAGGACAUCCUGAAGAGCCAGCCUUGAGCUGGCUGCACAAGAGACUCAUAGACUCUGCGUCAACAUCCACCUCUCCAGGCUGCAGUGGGUGUACCUGUUCACCGCCACCUCCAGCAGCACUGUCGCAGCGGAGCAGUUCUCACAGCCAAUGAGCUUCCACGCCACCUCCCUGCAGUUCUCUGCAACCGAGGCUCCAUCCUGCACUGAUGGGCUGCCUGACACGUCGGCCUCAACAAGCAUUUCCAGCACAUUCUCAGCUUUCCUGCUCUGCUGGGCAAAACGCAGGGUGAGAAGGGGAGAGGAAGCACGGGACUGUGGCCCAGUUCUAGGCUUGGAUUCUAGCGAGGAACACCAGGUGCCUGCAUUAAAAGAGCUGCUCCCAGUGGAAUGGCUGAGUCCCAACCUC